CGGACGCGUUUCGCACAGGAGGAGGCUCUAGCGUAAGCGCCGGGAGCGCUGGGAGCCCGGGCCAUCUCGAGACACCUGAGGGCCUGGGGGCUGAGCCAGGGACGCUUUGUCUUCGCGUCUCAAUGACGGAUUGACGGCCGUUUGCAAGCGGCUCUGAAGCGAGUGCGGACAGCCUUAGGACGGAUUCCCUGACGGAUGCGCUUCCGGGGGAGAACCAGGAGAGACACACAACAUCGCCUGGGGCCACCUGCCCGAAGGUGCCCGGGAACACCCACGAAAACACAGAAACCUGGGCUUCGUUAUGCAGGAGUUUUGUUCCUGAAGAUGGCAUUGUUUGCAACCUCCCUCCCCACCCCACUCCUUUCUCCGGGAACAUGAACGUCUCUGGAUUUCUCAAUCUCUGAAUUUGCCAACACCACGAAAAUUCACACCCGAUGCUUUGCAAGAGCUGCUAUUUAUAGGAGCGCUGGGUUUCAGUGGCUUCUCUCCAGAGUUGCAAAGUCACUCUCUAAUGCAGCUGUUUCAUCAGGCACCGCCCCGUGUCCUGGGCAUCUGGUCUUUUUACAUUCCUUUGGGUGCACCCAUAAUAUUCUACUGGGGGCCGGAAGAGAGAAUUUUGGGCUCCAAUUUAGCUUCAUCAUGCAGAAUCGACCUUCCUUUUACAAACUCAUCCAGCCAUCCACUCACUGUUUGUGUGAACUCAGCAAGUUACUGAACCCCCCAGGCUCAGUUUCCCCAUUUGUAAGAUGGGGCCGAGCAGCCCUUAUGACGAGUCCGGGGAAUUGUGAAGUCCCCGGUGCAUGAAUGUCACCGCGAAUGUUGGCUGUAUGAUCACCAGUCACUCAGCAACACUUGUGUGCACCUGCAUGGCGGCCCCGGGCCCACCAGACUCGGAGGCGACCAAUCUCAGUGCUGGUGAGAAGGGCUAUGACAGGGGCCCUGCAGGGCACUGGCCCUGAGCCCACAUCCCAGGCAGCAGUUAAAGCUGCCAAGGAGAGUGAAAAAAGCCACCCAGGAGCAACCCAGGGCUGGGCCUUGAUGGGAUGAAUAGGAGUUUUCCAGGCAGAAGGUGGGGGAGAGGGACUCGUAUGCAGUGGAGUCAGGAGUCAUUCUCAGGGACAGGGGGAGUGCAGUGGUCUCUAGGAAGAGACAGGUGCCUCAUACCACAUAGAACAAUUAGUUUAAAGUGGGUUAAAGACCUAGACGUAGAAAUUCAAACUAUAAAUCACUGAGAAGACAUAGGGGUGAAUCUUUUUGAGCUUGGUUUUCUUAGAUAUGACCCAAAAAGCACAGAAACAAAAGAAAAAGAUAGAUAAACUGAAUUCCUCAAAAUCAACAAAUUUUGUGCUUCAAAGGACACCAUCAAGAAAACCAAAAAACAAUCUGCAAAAUGGGAGAACAUAUUUGCAAAUCACUUGUCUAUAAGAGACUUGUAUCUGGCAUAUAUAAAGGGGGUUAUAUUACACAAAGAACAAUUCCAACUUGACAACGAAAAGACAAGCAGCUCAAUUAAAAAAUGGCAAAGGGGCCGGGCACAGCGGCUCACACCUGUAAUCCCAGCACUUUGGGAGGCUGAGGCGGGUGAAUCAUGAGGUCAGGAGAUCGAGACCAUCCUGGCUAACACGGUGAAACCCUGUCUCUACUAAAAAUACAAAAAAAUUAGCCACGCAUGGUGGCGGGCGCCUGUAGUCCCAGCUAUUUGGGAGGCUGAGGCAGGAGAAUGGCGUGAACCCGGGAGGCGGAGCUUGCAGUGAGCUGAGAUCGCGCCACUGCACUCCAGCCUGGGUGACAGAGUGAGACUCUGUCAAAAAAAAAAAAAAAAGCAAAGGAUAUGAGUAGACAUUUCUCCAAGCUGAUGCACAAAUGACCGAUCAACACAAAAACAUGCUCCACAUCAGUAGCCAUCAGGGAAAUGCACCCACUAGGGUGGCUACAAUCUCUAUUAAUAAUUUUGUUUAACUGGAAAACAGCAAGUGUUGGUGGGGAUGUGGAGAAAUUGGAAACUUCAUUCAUCGCUGGAGGGAAUGUAACAUGGUGAGGACACUGUGGAAAACAGUCGGGCAGUUGUUCCAAACGUUACACAGAGUUGUCACAUGACCCAGCAAUUCUGCUCCCACAUAUAUGCCCAAGAGAACUGAAAGUGUGUCCACAUUAAAAACCUGUCCACAAAUGUUCAUAGCAGCAUUAUUAAUAAUACCCCGAUGUGAGAUUAACGUACAUGUCCAUCAGCUGAUGAAAUAUGGGCUGCAUCCAUCCAACGGAAUAUUAUCCGGCCAUAAAAAGGAAUGACAUCAAAUUGAAGGCAGGGUCUUGAGGAGAUAUUUGCACACCCAUGUUGCAUGUUCAUUGCAGCAUCAUUCAUGAGGACUGAGAGGUGGAGGAACCCUGUGUGCUGAAAUUGGGGCUGGCCGAGCCAGGUAGGAGGUGGACAGGCUCCCUGACGGCUCUCCAGGGACGUCCUUCAGGGACAGCUUUGAGGACGUCCCAUGAGCAGUGCCCACGUGGUCAAGGGCUUCAGUACCCAGCAGCAGCUCUCAGCCAUCUUGACCAUGAGCAAGGAGAGGACAUAUCUGGUGCCUCAAAAGAACAUCUUUGCCUAAAGCUCAUCUGGGAGAGAGAGCAAGCAGACUGCAACUUUCUGAAACUGCUUGAACCAAGUGCAUGAAUUUGGUGCAUCCUGAAGUCCCUCUGCCCAGAGAGGGCUGCUAGUCUGUGCAUGGCAGGAUGGACCGCUGCUCUGAGUCACCUUUGCUGAGCAGCCAAGGCUGGGCUUCCCUUGGAAUUGCUUCCGGAAUGAUAUAUUCAGGGCCAGUCCUUGGCUGUAGUUUCUAGACUUCUCCUCGACAGGGCAGCUCCUUGGUGCAGCUCUUGCUGCACUGCUGGCCCCGGUCUGGCUCUCUUGGUGGCUGUGGCCACCCGUGCCAUUGCAUGGUCCGAACAGUCUCUGUGUAUAUUCAGCUUGCUUCCUGCUGUGGGGCCCCACUCCUGCUGCAGAACUCAGCCCCUGGUUCAAUGCUGACCUUUGUACCCCAGUCCCUUAACUACGCAGGCAUCUUCCUGUGUGUGUGGUGUUUUGUAGGUAUACAUCUCUCUUUCAGCAGCUAGCUGAAGUAUGAUUUGCAUACAACAAGCCGCAUUUAUCUAAAGUGUUAUCAGUUGAUAUGUUUUGCCUUUUGCAAAUGACACCAAAAGCAUCACCACAAUCGAGAUAAUAAACAGACCCCACCAAGCCUCCAGUGCCGCUUACCUUCCUCCCGCCCUCUCCCUCCACUCUCUCUCUGCAGCCCACUGACCUGCCUUCUGUUUUCAUAGGUGAUAUAGUUUGGAUCUGUGUCCCCACCCAAAUCUCAUGUCAAAUUGUAAUCCCCAAUGCUGGAGGUGGGGCCUGGUGGGAGGUGAUUAGAUCGUGGGAGUGGUUUCUCAUGGUUUAGCACCAUCCCCACUGGGAACUCUCAUCGUCAUAGUGAGUUCUCAUGAGAUCUACUUGUUUAAAAGUGUGUGGCACCUCCCCUCCCCCGUCUUGCUCCUGCUCUAGCCACGUGACCUGACCUGCCAGGUCCCCCUUUGCCUUCCGCCAUGAUUGUAAGUUUCCUGAGGCCUCCCUAGAAGCAGAAGCCACCAUGCUUCCUGUACAGCCUACAAUUAAGCCCCCCCCUUUUUUUUUUAAAUAAAUUACCCAGUCUCAGAUAUUUCUUUAGAGCAAUGCAAGAACCAACUAACACGAUAGGUCAGUUUAUAUCUCCUUACGUUUUGAACACAUGGAAUCUCUUACAGUGUUUACUCUGUCAUGUUGUGCCUGCUUCUUUGAGAUUCUUUCAUGUUGUGUGUGCGAAUAAUUCACUCCUUUUCAUGACUGAUUGGACCUCCACUGGUUGGAUAUAACACGGAUUAUCUGUUUCCACAUCGAUGGACAUUGGGGUUGUUCCCAGUCUGAGACCAUUACAGAUAAAGCAGCCAUGGGCAUCCUUCAUAGGGACAGGCCGUUUCAUACUUCCCAGGGAAAGGCCUAGAAGAGGAAUCAUACAGCAGGUGUGUGUUAACCUUUUCAGAAACUCAGUAACAAGAAUACAAAACUUUUUCAGAAACUACAAAACUGUCUUCCAAAGCAGCUGCACCAUUUUGCUUUCCCAGCGUCAGUGAUGGGAGAUCCAGUUCCUCCAUGUCCCCAGCAGCCAUUGGUAUAGCCAUUGUUUUUAAUGUAGUGCUGGAAUAGGCAUGCAGUGGCAGCUUGCUGUGCUUUUAGUUUGCAUUUCUCUGAUGAUGGACGUGCUGAGCGUGCUUUCAGGUGCUUCUUUGCCACUUUUUUUUUUUUUUUUUUUUGAGAUAGAGUCUCACUCUGUCGCCCAGGCUGGAGUGCAGUGGCGUGAUCUCGGCUCACUGCAAUCUCCACGUCCUAGGUUCAAGCGAUUCUUCUGCCUCAGCCUCCUGAGUAGCUGGGAUUACAGGUGCCCGCCACCACACCUGGCUAAUUUUUUUGUAUUUUUAGUAGAGACAGAGUUUCACCAUGUUGGUCAGGCUCAUCUCAAACUCCUGACCUCAGGUGAUCCACCUGCCUCAGCCUUCCAAAGUGCUGGAAUUACAGCCAUGAGCCACCACUCUCAACCUCUUUGCCACUUCUAUGUCUUCCUUGAAGUGUGUGUUCCAAUCUUUUGCCCAUUUUUAGUUGGGUUGUUGGUUUUCCUGCUGUUGAGUUUAAAGAGUUCUUGAUAUAUUCUACUUACACAUCCUUUAUUGGAUAUACAAUUUGCAAAUAUUUUGUUGGUCUAUGGCUUGCCUUUUUAUUCUCUUAGCAUCUUUAGAAGAACAAAAGUUUAUUCUACUUAAUGAAGUACGAUUUAUUCUUUUUUCUCAUAUAGAUUGUGCUUUUCCUAUUGUAUCUAGAAAAUCUUUACUUUGAGAGUACAAAGAUUUUCUACUGUUUUCUUCACUAAUGUUUAUAUUUUUACUUUUAUACCUAGAUCUAUGAUUAAUUUUCAGUUAAUUUUUUUCAUGAUGUGAAAUACUGAUCAAAGUUAUUGUUUUGCAUGUGGAUAUACAAUUGUCAUAGCACCAUUUGUUGAAAAGACCAUCUUUUCUCAGCUGAAUUGCCUUGACUCUUUUGUUAAAAAUUAAUUCAUCAAGAAUUAUUCACAACAGCCAAGAGGUUAAACCAACCCAAAUGUCCAUCGACUGGUGAGCAGAAAAAUAAAUGUGAAACAUGCUUACAGUGGGACAUAAUUCAGCCUUAAAAAGGAAGGAAAUUCUCACACAUGUUACAGCGUGAAUGAAUCUAGGGGUUCAUCUUCAUAAAAUGAGUCAGUCACUAAAAGACAAAUACUAUCUGACUCCACUAACAUGAGGUUUCCUAAGUGGUCAAAUUCAUAUGAACAGAGAGUAGAAUGCCGGUUACCAGCGACUAGGGGAGGGAAAAUGGGGAGUUGUUGUUUAAUGGUACAGAGUUUCACCUUUGCAAGAUGAAAAAGUUUUGGAGAUUGGUUGCACAACAUUGUGAAUAUAUUUAACACUACUUAAAUAUACGCUUAAAAAUGAUUAAGGCCUGGUGCAGUAGCUCACACCACUUUGGGAGGCCGAGGCAGGAAGAUCACUUGAGCCCAGGAGUUCAAGACCAGCCUGAGCAUCAUAGUGAGACAUUGUGUCUUACUAAAAGAAAAAAGAAGAAAAAAAAAAACGGUUAGCCAAGCACAGUGGUUCCACCUACUCGGGAGGCAGAAGUGGGAGGAUCACGUGAGCCCAGGAGGUUGAGGCUGCAGUGAGCCAUGAUCAUGCCACCACACUCCAGCCUAGGUAACAGAGUAAGACUGUGUCUCAGAAAAAAUGAUUAAGGUGGUACAUUUUAUGCUAUGCAUUUUUUAACCACAAUUAACCACGUAUCUGUGAAUCGGUUUCUGUCCUCUAUGUUGUCCUGCCGACCUACUGUUGAUAUUGACAUCAUCAGUGCCACAGUGGCUUGAUGACUGUAAUUUUAUAAUAUCUCUUGAAAUAAAUUAGCAUAACUCUUCCAAUUGUAUCCUUCUUUUUCUUUCUUUCUUUUUUUUUUUUUUUUUUGAGACAGUCUCACUCUGUCACCCA
This is a long non-coding RNA of Pan troglodytes (chimpanzee), 6069 nucleotides long. RefSeq lists it as uncharacterized. The transcript has 3 exons. The record is from RefSeq and is a predicted model, not a curated record. NCBI's taxonomy places the organism in Eukaryota, Metazoa, Chordata, Mammalia, Primates, Hominidae.